RNAcentral lists this transfer RNA (125 nucleotides) under Caudoviricetes sp. Its description in RNAcentral is "tRNA-OTHER". The record is from RNAcentral. Lineage: Duplodnaviria; Heunggongvirae; Uroviricota; Caudoviricetes.
GCUGCGAUAGCUCAAAUGGUAGAGCAACGUUAAGUCAACCAAUGUGCCUAGUAUUAGGCAUAUACAGCAAUUUUAACGAUAGCAUGUUAAGCCGUAGGUUCUUGGUUCGAGUCCAAGUCGCAGCG